This 261-nucleotide unclassified non-coding RNA is filed under the name fungal sp. RNAcentral describes it as "partial internal transcribed spacer region". The stretch from base 1 to 46 matches the Rfam family "Eukaryotic small subunit ribosomal RNA", at positions 1786 to 1831 of the family's 1831-position model. Lineage: Eukaryota; Fungi. The record is from RNAcentral.
AAGUCGUAACAAGGUUUCCGUAGGUGAACCUGCGGAAGGAUCAUUAACACAAACUUGCUUUUUUCUGAAAAGAAAAAAACAAAAACUAUCCACCCCUUUUCGAACGAACAAUGAUUAUUAUUUUUCUCUUCUUUAUAACCCCUAUUUUUUUUUUUCACACCCACUACCAAACAUGCGAUAGACUGAUAUCAUUUUUAUGAUCAUUACAUUGAUUUUUAAUGAUUUUUAAAACAACUCUUAGCAACGGAUAUCUUGGCUCUC